Molecule: long non-coding RNA, 382 nt
Filed under: Ananas comosus (pineapple)
Lineage: Eukaryota; Viridiplantae; Streptophyta; Magnoliopsida; Poales; Bromeliaceae
Description: long non-coding RNA (ACOM_LNC022506)
Source: RNAcentral
UAUAUAGUUGAGAUAGAAUACUCUCAAAAACACCAAAAAAGUGGUGUUUUUGAGAUUUAGGCAUUGAAUAGAGAGAUGUAUACGGGCGUGUUUGGUUCGAAGUCGGAAUCGGAAUCGGAAUCGGAAUCAAAAUAAGCUGGAAUCGGAAUCGGAAUGACUCAUUACCUAAUUCUGUUUGGUUCAUCACCUGAAUCAGAAUCAGAAUAAAUCAUUCUCAUUGUCGGUGCUUGGUUCAGGUGGAUAUAAAAAACGUAAUCAAAUUAAUAUACGAACGUUAUCUUUAUAAUAUAUUAAUUUAAAUUCAAAUUAAAUAUUAAAUAUUAAAAAUUUACAUCAAAAUUUUGAAAUAAUGUCAAAAUUUUAAAUAUAUUUUGUUUAAAAA